AAUGAACGCUGGCGGCGUGCCUAACACAUGCAAGUCGAACGAGAAAGCCUGGCUUGCCAGGCGAGUAAAGUGGCGCACGGGUGAGUAACGCGUGGGUAAUCUACCUUUGUCUGGGGGGAUAACCUACCGAAAGGUGGGCUAAUACCGCAUAACGUGGUCGGGUUGUGACCUGAUCACCAAAGAUGGCCUCUCCAUGGAAGCUAUCGGGUAAAGAUGAGCCCGCGUCCCAUUAGCUAGUUGGUAAGGUAAUGGCUUACCAAGGCUACGAUGGGUAGCUGGUCUGAGAGGAUGACCAGCCACACUGGGACUGAGACACGGCCCAGACUCCUACGGGUGGCAG
This 340-nucleotide ribosomal RNA is filed under the name uncultured Pseudomonadota bacterium. RNAcentral's name for it is "bacterial SSU rRNA". It matches the Rfam family "Bacterial small subunit ribosomal RNA", at positions 29 to 351 of the family's 1533-position model. The record is from RNAcentral. Lineage: Bacteria; Pseudomonadati; Pseudomonadota.